RNAcentral lists this ribosomal RNA (253 nucleotides) under uncultured bacterium. RNAcentral describes it as "partial 16S ribosomal RNA". It matches the Rfam family "Bacterial small subunit ribosomal RNA", at positions 524 to 776 of the family's 1533-position model. The record is from RNAcentral.
UACGUAGGCAGCGAGCGUUGUUCGGAGUUACUGGGCGUAAAGCGUGCGCAGGCGGCUUCUCAAGUCAGGGGUGAAAGCCCAGAGCUCAACUCUGGAAUUGGCUUUGAGACUGAGUGGCUUGAGUACGAGAGAGGUGAGUGGAAUUCCCAGUGUAGAGGUGAAAUUCGUAGAUAUUGGGAAGAACACCGGUGGCGAAGGCGGAUCUCUGGGCCUUACCUGACGCUCAGGCGCGAAAGCUAGGGGAGCGAACAGG